AUAACUAACAAAUGCUUAUUUGUACUAGUUUGUUUGUUCAUUCGUUUGUUAAUAUAUUUAUGUAUAAAUGUUAGAUUGCUGGGUGGAACUCUUCUGCAUCAGCAGCCGGAGUCUGAGAGAGAGAGAGAGAGUACAGUAGAUCAUGCUGUUUCUCCAUCAGCAGCCGGAGUCUGAGAGAGAGAGAGAGAGAGAGAGAGAGUACAGUAGAUCAUGCUGUUUCUCCAUCAGCAGCCGGAGUCUGAGAGAGAGAGAGAGAGAGAGAGAGAGAGUACAGUAGGUCAUGCUGCUGUUUCUCCAUCAGCAGCCGGAGUCUGAGAGAGAGAGAGAGAGAGAGUAAAGUACUGUUAGCUGAUGUAUCACAGCUGGCAAUCCGGCUCUUUACUCCAAAUGCUCUGUGAUGCUGCCUAGUGAUGCCAUAUUGAUUGGAGUCUGAAUUCACAUGUAUCGGAGGAGGCGUGCACUUAUCCUCACCCUCACCUCCGAGUGCUGGAGGCAUUGUAGUGAUAGGAAACAGAAAACAGGCCUAAAUUAGAUUUUUUUUUUUU
Molecule: long non-coding RNA, 545 nt
Organism: Astyanax mexicanus (Mexican tetra)
Lineage: Eukaryota; Metazoa; Chordata; Actinopteri; Characiformes; Acestrorhamphidae
Exons: 2
Source: RefSeq, a predicted model, not a curated record